GGGCCUAUAGCUCAGUUGGCAGAGCGCGCCCCUGAUAAGGGCGAGGUCCCUGGUUCAAAUCCAGGUAGGCCCACCA
RNAcentral lists this transfer RNA (76 nucleotides) under Acidobacteriota bacterium. RNAcentral's name for it is "tRNA-Ile". It matches the Rfam family "tRNA". Rfam says of the family: Transfer RNA (tRNA) molecules are approximately 80 nucleotides in length. Their secondary structure includes four short double-helical elements and three loops (D, anti-codon, and T loops). Lineage: Bacteria; Pseudomonadati; Acidobacteriota. The record is from RNAcentral. RNAcentral also lists the same sequence under 2 other names.